This 72-nucleotide transfer RNA is filed under the name Candidatus Sungiibacteriota bacterium. RNAcentral describes it as "tRNA-Val". It matches the Rfam family "tRNA". Rfam says of the family: Transfer RNA (tRNA) molecules are approximately 80 nucleotides in length. Their secondary structure includes four short double-helical elements and three loops (D, anti-codon, and T loops). Lineage: Bacteria; Candidatus Sungiibacteriota. The record is from RNAcentral.
GGGCGGUUAGCUCAGUGGCAGAGCGACUCGUUUACACCGAGUAGGCCGGAAGUUCAAUCCUUCCACCGCCCA